CGUGGGGCAGCGGAUGCUUAGCUUGCUAAGUAUGCCGGCGACCGGCGCACGGGUGAGUAACGCGUACCGAACCUGCCCAUCACACAGGGAUAGGCUUGCGAAAGCAAGAUUAAUACCUGAUGGUCUCAGUUGUAUGCAUGUAUGAUUGAGUAAAGCCUUCGGGCGGUGAUGGAUGGCGGUGCGUCCCAUUAGGAAGUUGGCGGGGUAACGGCCCACCAAUCCUUCGAUGGGUAGGGGUUCUGAGAGGAAGGUCCCCCACAUUGGAACUGAGAUACGGUCCAAACUCCUACGGGAGGCAGCAGUGAGGAAUAUUGGUCAAUGGGCGAGAGCCUGAACCAGCCAAGUAGCGUGUGGGAUGAAGGCCCUUGUGGUCGUAAACCGCUUUUAUCAGUGAAUAAAGUGCACCACGUGUGGUGUCAUUGCAGGUAGCUGAAGAAAAAGGACCGGCUAAUUCCGUGCCAGCAGCCGCGGUAAUACGGAAGGUCCGGGCGUUAUCCGGAAUUAUUGGGUUUAAAGGGAGCGCAGGCGGGAGUAUAAGUCAGCUGUUAAAUAUCAGGGCCCAACUCUGUUAUGCAGUUGAAACUAUAUUUCUUGAGUACGCACAGGGAUGGCGGAAUUCAGGGUGUAGCGGUGAAAUGCUUAGAUAUCCUGAAGAACUCCGAUCGCGAAGGCAGCCAUCCGGAGCGUAACU
RNAcentral lists this ribosomal RNA (691 nucleotides) under uncultured Bacteroidales bacterium. RNAcentral describes it as "bacterial SSU rRNA". It matches the Rfam family "Bacterial small subunit ribosomal RNA", at positions 63 to 741 of the family's 1533-position model. Lineage: Bacteria; Pseudomonadati; Bacteroidota; Bacteroidia; Bacteroidales. The record is from RNAcentral.